CAGAAAGAGGCCACACCUUUCUAUCUGAGGUCUCCCAAUGGGACAGCCAAACUCUAUGCCUAUUGGAUUGUGGUGAACUUUAGUGAAGCUUAUAAUCUCUUUGCAUUCUCUUCAAUCAUGAGAGUCCCAAAAGAAGAGCCAAUUUUGUUACGUGAAUUAUCUGGUCAGUAGCUAUAAUUUACCUUGAAUAACUGAAAUGUUUCAGUUUGGGAAGUCUGGAUGCCAAAUCAGUCCAGGGCCAUGCCAAGGGCUAUGUAGAGGCUAUGUGGCUGAUAUUACAGAAUGAUGAGCCAGAGGACUUUGUCAUAGUUACUGGGGAAGUUCAUAGCGUCAGUGAAUUUGUUGAAAAAUCAUUCGCACAUAUUGGAAAAACAAUUGUGUGGGAAGGAAAAAUUAAAAAUAAAGUGGCAGAUGUAAAGAGAUCAGUAAAGUUCAUGUGAUUGUAAAUCUGAAAUACUACUAAACAACUGAAGUAGACUUUCUGCGGGGAAACUGCUCCAAGGCUCAGCAGAUGGCUCAUACUUGGCAGAAUUUCUGCUAGAGAAAGGAUACAAGGUCUAUGGAAUUGUACAGUGAUCCAGUUCCAUUAAUAUAGGUCAAAUUGAAUAUUUAUAUAAAAAUCCUCAGGGUCAUAUUGAAGGAAACAUGAAGUUGUACUAUGGUUACCUCACAGCACCUGCUUGCUGAAAAUCAUUGAUGAAGUCAAGCCUACAGAGAUAUAUAAUCUUGGCACUCAGAGCCAUGUAAAGCUCUCCUCUGACUAGAUGAGAGCAAUCCAGAUGUUGAUGGAGUUGUUAUCUUGAAGCUUCUGGAUACAAUUAAAACUUGUGACCUUAUGAAUUCUGUGAAGUUCUACUAGGCCUCAACAAGUAUAUUUUAUGGAAAAGUGCAGGAAAUACCCUGGAAA
This 907-nucleotide long non-coding RNA is filed under the name Mus musculus (house mouse). Its description in RNAcentral is "long non-coding RNA chrX:155922916-155923823". Lineage: Eukaryota; Metazoa; Chordata; Mammalia; Rodentia; Muridae. The record is from RNAcentral.